UGCCUACGGGGGGCUGCAGUGGGGAAUAUUGGACAAUGGGCGCAAGCCUGAUCCAGCCAUGCCGCGUGAGUGAUGAAGGCCCUAGGGUUGUAAAGCUCUUUUAACGGGGAAGAUAAUGACGGUACCCGUAGAAUAAGCCCCGGCUAACUUCGUGCCAGCAGCCGCGGUAAUACGAAGGGGGCUAGCGUUGCUCGGAAUCACUGGGCGUAAAGGGUGCGUAGGUGGAUCUUUAAGUCAGGGGUGAAAUCCUGGAGCUCAACUCCAGAACUGCCUUUGAUACUGAGGAUCUUGAGUUCGGGAGAGGUAAGUGGAACUGCGAGUGUAGAGGUGAAAUUCGUAGAUAUUCGCAAGAACACCAGUGGCGAAGGCGGCUUACUGGCCCGAUACUGACACUGAGGCACGAAAGCGUGGGGAGCAAACAGGAUUAGAUACCCUAGUAGUC
RNAcentral lists this ribosomal RNA (442 nucleotides) under uncultured Bradyrhizobiaceae bacterium. RNAcentral describes it as "bacterial SSU rRNA". It matches the Rfam family "Bacterial small subunit ribosomal RNA", at positions 335 to 795 of the family's 1533-position model. Lineage: Bacteria; Pseudomonadati; Pseudomonadota; Alphaproteobacteria; Hyphomicrobiales; Nitrobacteraceae. The record is from RNAcentral.